RNAcentral lists this ribosomal RNA (485 nucleotides) under uncultured bacterium. RNAcentral's name for it is "bacterial SSU rRNA". It matches the Rfam family "Bacterial small subunit ribosomal RNA", at positions 28 to 507 of the family's 1533-position model. The record is from RNAcentral.
GAUGAACGCUAGCGGCAGGCUUAACACAUGCAAGUCGAGGGGCAUCACAGUGUAGCAAUACACGGGUGGCGACCGGCGCACGGGUGCGUAACACGUAUCCAAUCUGCCCGUUACUCGGGGAUAGCCUUCUGAAAGGAAGAUUAAUACCCGAUGGCAUGUAUUUCCGGCAUCGGAGAUACAUUAAAGAUUUAUCGGUAACGGAUGAGGAUGCGUACGAUUAGCUGGUUGGCGGGUAACGGCCCACCAAGGCUACGAUCGUUAGGGGUUCUGAGAGGAAGGUCCCCCACACUGGAACUGAGACACGGUCCAGACUCCUACGGGAGGCAGCAGUGAGGAAUAUUGGUCAAUGGUCGAGAGACUGAACCAGCCAAGUAGCGUGAAGGAUGACUGCCCUACGGGUUGUAAACUUCUUUUGUUUGGGAAUAAAUGAUACUACGUGUAGUAUUUUGCAUGUACCUUACGAAUAAGCAUCGGCUAAUUCCGUG